Molecule: non-coding RNA, 68 nt
Organism: Podarcis lilfordi (Lilford's wall lizard)
Lineage: Eukaryota; Metazoa; Chordata; Lepidosauria; Squamata; Lacertidae
Source: the annotation of a GenBank genome assembly
GCUGUGGCUCAGUGGAGAGCAUCUGCUUUGAAUGCAGAAGGUCCUAGGUUCAAUCCCCCACAUCACCA